Molecule: ribosomal RNA, 379 nt
Filed under: uncultured bacterium
Lineage: Bacteria
Description: bacterial SSU rRNA
Rfam family: Bacterial small subunit ribosomal RNA
Source: RNAcentral
GACGAACGCUGGCGGCGUGCCUAACACAUGCAAGUCGAGCGGUAAGGCCCUUUCGGGGGUACACGAGCGGCGAACGGGUGAGUAACACGUGGGUGACCUGCCCUUAGCUCUGGGAUAAGCCUGGGAAACGUGGGUCUAAUACCGGAUAUGACUCCAUGACGCAUGUUGUGGGGUGGAAAGCCUUGUGCGGCUAGGGAUGGGCCCGCGGCCUAUCAGCUUGUUGGUGGGGUGAUGGCCUACCAAGGCGACGACGGGUAGCCGGCCUGAGAGGGCGACCGGCCACACUGGGACUGAGACACGGCCCAGACUCCUACGGGAGGCAGCAGUGGGGAAUCUUGCGCAAUGGGCGAAAGCCUGACGCAGCGACGCCGCGUGGGGA